This 368-nucleotide ribosomal RNA is filed under the name uncultured bacterium. Its description in RNAcentral is "bacterial SSU rRNA". It matches the Rfam family "Bacterial small subunit ribosomal RNA", at positions 29 to 384 of the family's 1533-position model. The record is from RNAcentral.
AAUCAACGUUGGCGGCGUGCCUAACACAUGCAAGUCGAACGCGAAAGCCCCGCAAGGGGUAAGUAGAGUGGCAAACGGGUGAGUAACACGUGGGUGACCUGCCUUAGAGUGGGGGAUAACGUCCCGAAAGGGACGCUAAUACCGCAUAACAUCCUGCCUUUGAAGAGGUGGAGAUCAAAGCCGGGGACCGCAAGGCCUGGCGCUCAAAGAGGGGCCCGCGCCUGAUUAGCUAGUUGGUGAGGAAUGGCUCACCAAGGCAACGAUCAGUAUCCGGCCUGAGAGGGCGGACGGACACACUGGGACUGAGACACGGCCCAGACUCCUACGGGAGGCAGCAGUGGGGAAUUGUUCGCAAUGGGCGCAAGCCU